GACGAACGCUGGCGGCGUGCUUAACACAUGCAAGUCGAACGGAAAGGCCCUGCUUUUGUGGGGUGCUCGAGUGGCGAACGGGUGAGUAACACGUGAGUAACCUGCCCUUGACUUUGGGAUAACUUCAGGAAACUGGGGCUAAUACCGGAUAGGAGCUCCUGCUGCAUGGUGGGGGUGGGAAGGUUCGGCGGUUGGGGAUGGACUCGCGGCUUAUCAGCUUGUUGGUGGGGUAGUGGCUUACCAAGGCUUUGACGGGUAGCCGGCCUGAGAGGGUGACCGGCCACAUUGGGACUGAGAUACGGCCCAGACUCCUACGGGAGGCAGCAGUGGGGAAUAUUGCACAAUGGGCGGAAGCCUGAUGCAGCAACGCCGCGUGCGGGAUGACGGCCUUCGGGUUGUAAACCGCUUUCGCCUGUGACGAAGCGUGAGUGACGGUAAUGGGUAAAGAAGCACCGGCUAACUACGU
Molecule: ribosomal RNA, 466 nt
Filed under: uncultured bacterium
Lineage: Bacteria
Description: partial 16S ribosomal RNA
Rfam family: Bacterial small subunit ribosomal RNA
Source: RNAcentral